AUUGAACGCUGGCGGCAGGCCUAACACAUGCAAGUCGAACGAGUGGCGGACGGGUGAGUAAUGUCUGGGAAACUGCCUGAUGGAGGGGGAUAACUACUGGAAACGGUAGCUAAUACCGCAUACCAUCGGAUGUGCCCAGAUGGGAUUAGCUAGUAGGUGGGGUAAAGGCUCACCUAGGCGACGAUCCCUAGCUAGUCUGAGAGGAUGACCGGCACGACGGGAACUGGGACACGGUCCAGACUCCUACGGGAGGCGGAAGUGGGGAAUAUUGGACAAUGGGCGCAAGCCUGAUGCAGCAAGGCCGCGUGUAUGAAAAAGGCCUUCGGGUUGUAAAAUACUUUCAGCAGGGAGGCGGUACCCGCAGAAGAAGCACCGGCUAACUACGUGCCAGCAGCCGCGGUAAUUC
RNAcentral lists this ribosomal RNA (406 nucleotides) under uncultured bacterium. RNAcentral's name for it is "partial 16S ribosomal RNA". It matches the Rfam family "Bacterial small subunit ribosomal RNA", at positions 29 to 526 of the family's 1533-position model. The record is from RNAcentral.